CUGGCCUCUUCCCAAGCCAUUAGCUUGAAUGGUGGUAGGAGAGGCAGUCCCAGCUACGGGAAGCUGAGGCAGGAGAAUUGCUUAAGCCCAGGAGGUGGAGGUUGCAAGGAGCCGAGAUUGCGCCACUGCACACCAGCCUGGCUGACAGAGAUUCCAUCUCAACAACAACAACGACAACAAAAAGCAGCGGGGAAAAUAAUACAACACAAAGCUGCUGUGGUCUGAAGGGCUUAAAACAGUACCUGGUGCAUAGUUAGUGCAAGCUUACUGAGUGUUGAGUGUUAUUA
RNAcentral lists this long non-coding RNA (287 nucleotides) under Homo sapiens (human). RNAcentral's name for it is "non-protein coding LINC02520:40". Lineage: Eukaryota; Metazoa; Chordata; Mammalia; Primates; Hominidae. The record is from RNAcentral.